RNAcentral lists this transfer RNA (62 nucleotides) under Andrena cineraria. RNAcentral's name for it is "tRNA-Gly". Lineage: Eukaryota; Metazoa; Arthropoda; Insecta; Hymenoptera; Andrenidae. The record is from RNAcentral.
AUAUAUAUAGUAUAAUAAUUACAUUUAACUUCCAAUUAAAAAAUUUCAAUAGAAUAUAUAUA